UACGUAGGUGGCGAGCGUUACUCGGAGUUACUGGGCGUAAAGGGUCCGUAGGUGGCCAAUUAAGUCUGAGGUGAAAGCCUGCAGCUCAACUGCAGAACUGCCUUGGAAACUGGAUGGCUAGAGUGCAGGAGAGGUAAGUGGAAUUUGUGGUGUAGCGGUGGAAUGCGUGAAUAUCACAAGGAACACCAGAGGCGAAAGCGGCUUACUGGACUGCAACUGACACUGAGGGACGAAAGCCAGGGGAGCAAAAAGG
RNAcentral lists this ribosomal RNA (253 nucleotides) under uncultured bacterium. Its description in RNAcentral is "partial 16S ribosomal RNA". It matches the Rfam family "Bacterial small subunit ribosomal RNA", at positions 524 to 776 of the family's 1533-position model. The record is from RNAcentral.